This 405-nucleotide ribosomal RNA is filed under the name uncultured bacterium. Its description in RNAcentral is "partial 16S ribosomal RNA". It matches the Rfam family "Bacterial small subunit ribosomal RNA", at positions 28 to 526 of the family's 1533-position model. The record is from RNAcentral.
GAUGAACGCUGGCGGCGUGCCUAAUACAUGCAAGUCGAGCGAAGCGGGGACGGGUGAGUAACACGUGGAUAACCUCCUAUAAGACGGGGUAAACAUCGGGAAACCGGAGCUAAACCGGAUAUUUAUAGCUGGAUACGCGCUGCAUUAGCUAGUUGGUAAGGUAACGGCUUACCAAGGCAACGAUGCAUAGACGACCUGAGAGUGGGAGCGGCCACACUGGAACUGAGACACGGUCCAGACCCCUACGGGAGGCAGCAGUAGGGAAGCUUCCGCAAUGGGCGAAAGCCUGACGGAGCAACGCCGCGUGAAUGAUGAAGGUCUUCGGAUCGUAAAACUCUGUUAUUAGGGAAGCGGUACCUAAUCAGAAAGCCACGGCUAACUACGUGCCAGCAGCCGCGGGAAUAC